Molecule: transfer RNA, 74 nt
Filed under: Mucilaginibacter sp. PAMC 26640
Lineage: Bacteria; Pseudomonadati; Bacteroidota; Sphingobacteriia; Sphingobacteriales; Sphingobacteriaceae
Description: tRNA-Pro
Rfam family: tRNA
About the family: Transfer RNA (tRNA) molecules are approximately 80 nucleotides in length.
Source: RNAcentral
CGGGAUGUAGCGUAGCCAGGUAUCGCGCCAACAUGGGGUGCUGGAGGCCGGAAGUUCGAAUCUUCUCAUCCCGA